Molecule: microRNA, 20 nt
Filed under: Corchorus capsularis
Lineage: Eukaryota; Viridiplantae; Streptophyta; Magnoliopsida; Malvales; Malvaceae
Description: sRNA CCACVL1_22626
Source: RNAcentral
UUCUCUUCUUCUUCUUCUCU